GACGAACGCUGGCGGCGUGCUUAACACAUGCAAGUCGAACGGAAAGGCCCUGCUUUUGUGGGGUGCUCGAGUGGCGAACGGGUGAGUAACACGUGAGUAACCUGCUCUUGACUUUGGGAUAACUUCAGGAAACUGGGGCUAAUACCGGAUAGGAGCUCCUGCUGCAUGGUGGGGGUUGGAAAGUUUCGGCGGUUGGGGAUGGACUCGCGGCUUAUCAGCUUGUUGGUGGGGUAGUGGCUUACCAAGGCUUUGACGGGUAGCCGGCCUGAGAGGGUGACCGGCCACAUUGGGACUGUGAUACGGCCCAGACUCCUACGGGAGGCAGCAGUGGGGAAUAUUGCACAAUGGGCGGAAGCCUGAUGCAGCAACGCCGCGUGCGGGAUGACGGCCUUCGGGUUGUAAACCGCUUUCGCCUGUGACGAAGCGUGAGUGACGGUAAUGGGUAAAGAAGCACCGGCUAACUACGUG
This 468-nucleotide ribosomal RNA is filed under the name uncultured bacterium. RNAcentral's name for it is "partial 16S ribosomal RNA". It matches the Rfam family "Bacterial small subunit ribosomal RNA", at positions 28 to 507 of the family's 1533-position model. The record is from RNAcentral.